Molecule: long non-coding RNA, 398 nt
Organism: Podarcis muralis (Common wall lizard)
Lineage: Eukaryota; Metazoa; Chordata; Lepidosauria; Squamata; Lacertidae
Source: RefSeq, a predicted model, not a curated record
AGAGAGAGAGAGGCGGCCAGGCGGGCGCUUCAGGAACUGGGGGCGGCGCGGCUGCUGCAGGACGGCGGAAAAUCUGCAGCGUGCAAGGGGGAGACGCGAGAGGCUUCGUGCUCCGCCAGCCCCGGAGCUGGAGCAGAGAAGGCGCCUCCGCCAGCCGAACAUUCCGCGGCGGGAGUUUUGCCGGGCUGCGGGAUUGCCGUCCAAGUUCUGGAAAACACUGCAGAAAGAAGAAAAGGCAUGAAGGAUUGGGGUGUUCACUACGCUGUCUCUUAGCUCUACUUGGCACCUCUGCAUAUGCCCAGCUUUAAGUUAAAUCAGGCUCAGAAUAUGGAUUUGUUUUAUGUAUGUACUUGUGCUCCCCUUUAAUAUUUACAUUUAUUAAAAGCUGCUAACCGUAA